UGCUUGCACGGGUUUCCAGUCAUUUUUAUCUCCAAUUUUCAUGCUCUGUACUAAGUUGAUAAUAGACGUAAGAAAUAUUAGAGCUUCUUCAUAUUUAUCACAAUUCAAUCUGCUUAGUGCAACUGCAGGGUACCUGCUUGUCAUGAAAUCAAACCACCGGUUAAACACAUCCAGAAACCAAGCAGUAGAAAGAUAUUCAUUUCCUCGGCCUUCUUCUUUCACAAGGUGUAAUGGACACAAAACUACAGUUCAAGUUGUUUGCUUUAACAACAUCAUCAGGUAGAGUGAUGACUUUGCCACUAACCAAAGCUGCCUUAAGAUUCUUUAUUAGGUGAGGAACAUCAGCGAGAAAAUAUAACCAUUUGGUUGGACUUUGAGGAUGUACUACUUUGCUAACAGUAUUGCAGUGUCUUCCAGUCAUGAGGCCAAAGCUUCUCCACAGUGCUCGGUUUGCAGAUCCCAUGUCACUAGUCACAGCUAUGACAUGUAAGCCUAUCUUUGCAGCACAUUCAAUAAUUCCAGCACAAUUGGUUUCAUUACAGUUCCGUCAGUGGAGUUUCCUGUGAAAUGGUAUGCUACUGUCUGUUUUCACCGUGAUGACAGUCCUCCCAACAUAAACACAAGAGCAUGAGUGGCACUACCACAAUGACCAGGCAAAGUCACAUUCCCAAGCAAUUGUCCACUACUUGCAUCAUACUCAAUACUAGGUGUAAUGGACAUUUCAUCUAAUGUGAGACAGCAGACUCUUUCCUCUUCACACAAAUUAUUUACCUUCACUGCUAAGUAUUCAAAAACUUGGCUGAAUGACCACCGAAUUCCUCGCAUUCCUCGGGACAAUGCUAGCAGCUGAUCUUCAGCAAACAGUUUUUUAAUCUUUGAUUCCUGACUUGCCAUUUGCUUAGCAAGUGCAUUAUUUCUUCUUGUAAUUUUGUGCAGUUUGGCUCUUGAAACUUGUAAUUUGGCUUUCAA
This is a long non-coding RNA of Corticium candelabrum, 969 nucleotides long. RefSeq lists it as uncharacterized. The record is from RefSeq and is a predicted model, not a curated record. The transcript is spliced from 3 exons. Lineage: Eukaryota; Metazoa; Porifera; Homoscleromorpha; Homosclerophorida; Plakinidae.